UUUCAGCAACGGAUCUUUUGGCUCUCGCAUCGAUGAAGAACGCAGCGAAAUGAGAUAAGUAAUGUGAAUUGCAGA
Molecule: ribosomal RNA, 75 nt
Filed under: Parasola schroeteri
Lineage: Eukaryota; Fungi; Basidiomycota; Agaricomycetes; Agaricales; Psathyrellaceae
Description: Parasola schroeterii partial 5.8S ribosomal RNA
Rfam family: 5.8S ribosomal RNA
About the family: 5.8S ribosomal RNA (5.8S rRNA) is a component of the large subunit of the eukaryotic ribosome. It is transcribed by RNA polymerase I as part of the 45S precursor that also contains 18S and 28S rRNA.
Source: RNAcentral